UCAGCUCUCACUACCUUUUUCGUUCGAAUCCCUCUAUCUUUCAUCCAUUUUUAUUGGUUCUCAAUCGUUAUUUCCCCUCUCCCUCAAUCUGUUUUUCGUGAGUGUAUGUGUGUGGUUUCGUGUAGAGCGUGAGAGUGAUGUGAGAUGUGUGCGCUAAUGGUGGAGAGAUUGGUUUUGUGAGGUGUCGUGUGGUGUUAAUGGUGGA
Molecule: long non-coding RNA, 205 nt
Filed under: Capsicum annuum
Lineage: Eukaryota; Viridiplantae; Streptophyta; Magnoliopsida; Solanales; Solanaceae
Description: long non-coding RNA (CANN_LNC001866)
Source: RNAcentral